AGUUAAUAAGCUAUCAUGCAUAUAUUUUGAAAAUAUAAACUUAGAAAUUAAAAACUUUCUAUUAACUU
Molecule: transfer RNA, 68 nt
Filed under: Antodynerus aff. limbatus GX
Lineage: Eukaryota; Metazoa; Arthropoda; Insecta; Hymenoptera; Vespidae
Also listed under: 2 other names
Description: tRNA-Ser
Source: RNAcentral